GGAGGCGCGGACGCUGCCUUCUACGGCGAAUUCGUGUUCCGUCCCCCGGGGGGCUGGGCGGGGAGGGUCCCAUGCCGGGCUUAACUCCCCGGGGCGGGCAAACCGCCGAGUGAGACCGCAGGCUGCGGAAUAGGCGGUCUUCCUCCACCGGCUCACUGCGGCAGGGCACGGCCCGUUCCGUGAACUAGCCAGCGCGAGCGCGUGGGCGCGAGAGGACGACGCCCGCCCCUGCCUGUCUGUACGGACGACGGCCUCGAGCGUCCGGGCGGGCGGGGGAGGUGCGCCACACGCCCGCCGUCCAUAUAUUACUACCUAAUUUUUUAAUCAUACUGGCCUUAUUUAUCUUCACCCUAAUCAGUAAUCUCUUCAUAACCUUACACGAGUAUCAUACAAUGCACAAGGGUCUUGUUCCCAUUAGGCCUGGGCGGCGCAUUAAUUUGCCGCUGCAGAUCAAGUCUGAAGCUAUACUGCGAUCGCCGCUUAUGCUAAUUAUUUCUAGGAGUCCAGAAUAUCAAUCACAAAUAUGGACAAUUAUGGCCUCGAAAAGGUGAGACCGUUCAGGGUGGAACCGGUGCUGAAAACCUGAGAUGAAUGUCAGUUCCACCCCACAACGUUACCUCCUUAGUAUACGACCUUAUCUGUCAACUCAUACAUUAAGAUAAUAAAAAUGUAUGUGGUUACCUCUGAACGUCGAAUGAACACCGAUAGUUAGGUGAAUCACUGUAAAGGUUACACCUACGGAAACUCGUAGGAAAAGUAAAUCGUGUCAAAAGCGUACCGAAGUACUGUAACACCGCUACAAAAAAAAAAAAAAAA
This 816-nucleotide small RNA is filed under the name Rattus norvegicus (Norway rat). RNAcentral describes it as "receptor for advanced-glycation end products (RAGE) associated RNA 1". Lineage: Eukaryota; Metazoa; Chordata; Mammalia; Rodentia; Muridae. The record is from RNAcentral.